This 255-nucleotide long non-coding RNA is filed under the name Carica papaya (papaya). RNAcentral describes it as "long non-coding RNA (CPAP_LNC000964)". Lineage: Eukaryota; Viridiplantae; Streptophyta; Magnoliopsida; Brassicales; Caricaceae. The record is from RNAcentral.
CCAGGAUAUCUAGUCAGGCUGACCACAUUAUACAAUUUCCAUUUACAUAAUCUUUCAUUCUCCUUUUCCCUCAGUCAGCAUUAUCAAUCACAUACAAACAAGCAAAACGAUAAUUUAUGCCAAACAGACAACAUACAGCAUCAAUAUCCCAGUCAUUCAAUCCAUAAUCAAUAAAACAAUAAAAUAUGCACACGAAACUAUAAAAUGAAAACAUCGAACCUCAUGCUGCAUUUAAAACUGUAAAACAGGCCAAAU